This 254-nucleotide ribosomal RNA is filed under the name uncultured bacterium. RNAcentral describes it as "partial 16S ribosomal RNA". It matches the Rfam family "Bacterial small subunit ribosomal RNA", at positions 78 to 334 of the family's 1533-position model. The record is from RNAcentral.
UCUUUCUUUGCUGGCGACCGGCGCACGGGUGAGUAACACUAUCCAACCUGCCCUUUACUCGGGGAUAGCCUUUCGAAAGAAAGAUUAAUACCCGAUAGUAUAAUGAUUCCGCAUGGUUUCAUUAUUAAAGGAUUCCGGUAAAGGAUGGGGAUGCGUUCCAUUAGGUUGUUGGUGAGGUAACGGCUCACCAAGCCUUCGAUGGAUAGGGGUUCUGAGAGGAAGGUCCCCCACAUUGGAACUGAGACACGGUCCAA